UCCCUGGUGGUCCAGUGGUGAAGACCCCGCACUUCCAGUGUGGGGGACACGGGUUCGAUCCCUGGUCUGGGAG
RNAcentral lists this transfer RNA (73 nucleotides) under Bos taurus (domestic cattle). It matches the Rfam family "tRNA". From Rfam's summary of the family: Transfer RNA (tRNA) molecules are approximately 80 nucleotides in length. The record is from Rfam by way of RNAcentral. RNAcentral also lists the same sequence under 3 other names. Lineage: Eukaryota; Metazoa; Chordata; Mammalia; Artiodactyla; Bovidae.